RNAcentral lists this ribosomal RNA (501 nucleotides) under uncultured bacterium. RNAcentral describes it as "partial 16S ribosomal RNA". It matches the Rfam family "Bacterial small subunit ribosomal RNA", at positions 30 to 523 of the family's 1533-position model. The record is from RNAcentral.
AUUGAACGCUGGCGGCAGGCUUAACAUAUGCAAGUCGAGCGGGGGAAGGUAGCUUGCUACCGGACCUAGCGGCGGACGGGUGAGUAAUGCUUAGGAAUCUGCCUAUUAGUGGGGGACAACAUCUCGAAAGGGAUGCUAAUACCGCAUACGUCCUACGGGAGAAAGCAGGGGAUCUUCGGACCUUGCGCUAAUAGAUGAGCCUAAGUCGGAUUAGCUAGUUGGUGGGGUAAAGGCCUACCAAGGCGACGAUCUGUAGCGGGUCUGAGAGGAUGACCCGCCACACUGGGACUGAGACACGGCCCAGACUCCUACGGGAGGCAGCAGUGGGGAAUAUUGGACAAUGGGGGGAACCCUGAUCCAGCCAUGCCGCGUGUGUGAAGAAGGCCUUAUGGUUGUAAAGCACUUUAAGCGAGGAGGAGGCUACUUUAGUUAAUACCUAGAGAUAGUGGACGUUACUCGCAGAAUAAGCACCGGCUAACUCUGUGCCAGCCGCCGCCGUAA